Molecule: ribosomal RNA, 506 nt
Filed under: uncultured bacterium
Lineage: Bacteria
Description: partial 16S ribosomal RNA
Rfam family: Bacterial small subunit ribosomal RNA
Source: RNAcentral
AGUGAACGCUGGCGGUAGGCCUAACACAUGCAAGUCGAACGGCAGCACAGAGGAGCUUGCUCCUUGGGUGGCGAGUGGCGGACGGGUGAGGAAUACAUCGGAAUCUACUCUGUCGUGGGGGAUAACGUAGGGAAACUUACGCUAAUACCGCAUACGACCUACGGGUGAAAGCAGGGGACCUUCGGGCCUUGCGCGAUUGAAUGAGCCGAUGCCGGAUUAGCUAGUUGGCGGGGUAAAGGCCCACCAAGGCGACGAUCCGUAGCUGGUCUGAGUGGAUGAUCAGCCACACUGGAACUGAGACACGGUCCAGACUCCUACGGGAGGCAGCAGUGGGGAAUAUUGGACAAUGGGCGCAAGCCUGAUCCAGCCAUACCGCGUGGGUGAAGAAGGCCUUCGGGUUGUAAAGCCCUUUUGUUGGGAAAGAAAUCCAGCUGGCUAAUACCCGGUUGGGAUGACGGUACCCAAAGAAUAAGCACCGGCUAACUUCGUGCCAGCCGCCGCAGUAA